UACGUAGGGUGCAAGCGUUGUCCGGAAUUAUUGGGCGUAAAGAGCUCGUAGGCGGUUUGUCGCGUCUGCUGUGAAAACUCGGGGCUUAACUCCGGGCCUGCAGUGGGUACGGGCAGACUAGAGUGCGGUAGGGGAGACUGGAAUUCCCGGUGUAGCGGUGAAAUGCGCAGAUAUCGGGAAGAACACCCGUGGCGAAGGCGGUUCUCUGGGACGGUACUGACGCUGAGACGCGAAAGCGUGGGGAGCGAACAGG
This 253-nucleotide ribosomal RNA is filed under the name uncultured bacterium. RNAcentral's name for it is "partial 16S ribosomal RNA". It matches the Rfam family "Bacterial small subunit ribosomal RNA", at positions 524 to 776 of the family's 1533-position model. The record is from RNAcentral.